RNAcentral lists this ribosomal RNA (253 nucleotides) under uncultured bacterium. RNAcentral's name for it is "partial 16S ribosomal RNA". It matches the Rfam family "Bacterial small subunit ribosomal RNA", at positions 524 to 776 of the family's 1533-position model. The record is from RNAcentral.
UACGGGGGGGGCAAGCGUUGUUCGGAAUUACUGGGCGUAAAGGGCUCGUAGGUGGCCAACUAAGUCAUGCGUGAAAUCCCCCGGCUUAACCGGGGAACUGGCGUCGAUACGACCGCCCUGGAGGGGCGUAGGGGGACCUGGAACUUCCGGUGGAGCGGUGAAAUGCGUUGAGAUCGGAAGGAACGCCCGUGGCGAAAGCGAGGUCCUGGACGCCUACUGACGCUGAGACGCGAAAGCCAGGGGAGCGAACGGG